RNAcentral lists this ribosomal RNA (465 nucleotides) under uncultured bacterium. RNAcentral's name for it is "partial 16S ribosomal RNA". It matches the Rfam family "Bacterial small subunit ribosomal RNA", at positions 28 to 507 of the family's 1533-position model. The record is from RNAcentral.
GACGAACGCUGGCGGCGUGCUUAACACAUGCAAGUCGAACGGAAAGGCCCUGCUUGCAGGGUACUCGAGUGGCGAACGGGUGAGUAACACGUGGGUGAUCUGCCCUGCACUUCGGGAUAAGCCUGGGAAACUGGGUCUAAUACCGGAUAGGAGCCAUUUUUAGUGUGAUGGUUGGAAAGUUUUUUCGGUGUAGGAUGAGCUCGCGGCCUAUCAGCUUGUUGGUGGGGUAAUGGCCUACCAAGGCGGCGACGGGUAGCCGGCCUGAGAGGGUGGACGGCCACAUUGGGACUGAGAUACGGCCCAGACUCCUACGGGAGGCAGCAGUGGGGAAUAUUGCACAAGGGGCGCAAGCCUGAUGCAGCGACGCCGCGUGGGGGAUGACGGCCUUCGGGUUGUAAACUCCUUUCGCUAUGGACGAAGCUUUUUGUGACGGUACCUAGAUAAGAAGCACCGGCUAACUACGUG